Molecule: ribosomal RNA, 379 nt
Filed under: uncultured bacterium
Lineage: Bacteria
Description: bacterial SSU rRNA
Rfam family: Bacterial small subunit ribosomal RNA
Source: RNAcentral
AUUGAACGCUGGCGGCAUGCCUUACACAUGCAAGUCGAACGGCAGCACGGGAGCAAUCCUGGUGGCGAGUGGCGAACGGGUGAGUAAUACAUCGGAACGUGCCCAGUCGUGGGGGAUAACGUAGCGAAAGCUACGCUAAUACCGCAUACGAUCUGUGGAUGAAAGCGGGGGACCGUAAGGCCUCGCGCGAUUGGAGCGGCCGAUGUCAGAUUAGGUAGUUGGUGGGUAAAGGCCACCAAGCCGACGAUCUGUAGCUGGUCUGAGAGGACGACCAGCCACACUGGGACUGAGACACGGCCCAGACUCCUACGGAGGCAGCAGUGGGAAUUUUGGACAAUGGGCGCAAGCCUGAUCCAGCAAUGCCGACGUGCAGGAUGAA